UACUCCUACGGGAGGCAGCAGUGGGGAAUCUUGCACAAUGGGGGAAACCCUGAUGCAGCGACGCCGCGUGAGUGAUGAAGCCCUUCGGGGUGUAAAGCUCUUUCGCACGCGACGAUGAUGACGGUAGCGUGAGAAGAAGCCCCGGCUAACUUCGUGCCAGCAGCCGCGGUAAUACGAAGGGGGCUAGCGUUGUUCGGAAUUACUGGGCGUAAAGGGCGCGUAGGCGGUUUAUCAAGUCAGGCGUGAAAGCCCCGGGCUCAACCUGGGAAUUGCGUUUGAUACUGGUAGACUUGAGUUCGGGAGAGGUGAGUGGAAUUCCCAGUGUAGAGGUGAAAUUCGUAGAUAUUGGGAAGAACACCGGUGGCGAAGGCGGCUCACUGGACCGAUAC
RNAcentral lists this ribosomal RNA (389 nucleotides) under uncultured bacterium. RNAcentral's name for it is "bacterial SSU rRNA". It matches the Rfam family "Bacterial small subunit ribosomal RNA", at positions 334 to 740 of the family's 1533-position model. The record is from RNAcentral.